CUCUCUAACUGGCUGCCUGUCCCUCGUCCGAGCAAGGCAGGCCCGACGCCGCGCCGCCAACCACCGCUUCCAACCAGGCUUGUUGUGUCACCUAGUCGACGCUGACGCCCGUCGCCACACCUCGAGCACGCCCUUUCGAUUUUUACGUACAUUUCGUGCAGCAGUCACACUAUCGUCACCAAGGAUUCCGUCGUUGUACCGGAUAUUUUGUUAUUAGAUAUUGAGGUGGGGAUGGAAUACCGGGUGGGAGAGGUUGGUUUCGACAACUACUAUUUUGCUGCUUUCUAUCUGUGUAACGUAUCAACAAGCCGAAGAAGGUGGAAAGAACAAGGAGAAAU
Molecule: long non-coding RNA, 338 nt
Organism: Diprion similis
Lineage: Eukaryota; Metazoa; Arthropoda; Insecta; Hymenoptera; Diprionidae
Exons: 2
Source: RefSeq, a predicted model, not a curated record